Molecule: non-coding RNA, 80 nt
Organism: Lyophyllum atratum
Lineage: Eukaryota; Fungi; Basidiomycota; Agaricomycetes; Agaricales; Lyophyllaceae
Source: the annotation of a GenBank genome assembly
GCCCGUUUAGCUCAGUGGUAGAGCGCGCCACUCGUAUAACCGCGAUGGUGAGGUCGAUCGUUCAAUCCGGUCAGUGGGCA